Dipodomys ordii (Ord's kangaroo rat) is the source of this 65-nucleotide non-coding RNA. The record is from Rfam. Lineage: Eukaryota; Metazoa; Chordata; Mammalia; Rodentia; Heteromyidae.
GGUGGCUCAGUAGUAGAGCACUUGCCUUGUGUGCCAGAGGCCCUGGGUUCGAUUCCUCAGCACCA